This 325-nucleotide ribosomal RNA is filed under the name uncultured bacterium. RNAcentral's name for it is "bacterial SSU rRNA". It matches the Rfam family "Bacterial small subunit ribosomal RNA", at positions 28 to 334 of the family's 1533-position model. The record is from RNAcentral.
GAUGAACGCUGGCGGCGUGCCUAACACAUGCAAGUCGAGCGAAGCACUCUACCUGAUUUCUUCGGGAUGAAGGUUUAGUGACUGAGCGGCGACGGGUGAGUAACGCGUGGUAACCUGCCUCAUACAGGGGGAUAACAGUUAGAAAUCAUUGCUAAUACCGCAUAUGCCAUGAAUAUCACAUGAUAAAAAUGGGAAAGGAGAAAUCCGCUAAUAGAUGGGCUCGCGUCUGAUUAGAUAGUUGGUGGGGUAACGGCCUACCAAGUCAACGAUCAGUAGCCGGACUGAGAGGUUGAACGGCCACAUUGGGACUGAGGAUACGGCCCAG